AUACAUUUUCAAUUUUGUCCAUGAUGAUUUAUUAUAAACAAAAUUUUGAUGAACAUCUUCGUAAUUGUUCAGUAUGAUGGAUGAAAUAUGUUUCUGUUGGUUUUACUUAAAAACAACUCUGUGAUGUUUGGCUAUUUUUUGUGAGGUCUGUCUGUCUCUGUUUCUGCCUGUGGGUGGAGCUAAUCAGUGCUGUCACACUCACCUGUGACCACCUGUUCGUUAGUCUCACUGGUGUCACCUGGUGUCCUGGGUAUAGUGGCUAGUCUUCCUGCUAAGUUCCUGUUUGCUUCUGCCUGCUCUUGGACUCCACACUGAGCAGUGGGACCAUUCCUCUGCGAUUUGCAGUUUCCAGCCCAACCCCCCUCUCCAGGAGAAGCGUGCACACCUCCAUCCUCCCUCUCCCCGCUGCUGCGCUCAGCACUGGCGGAGGGUCAGCGCGGAGAUGAGACGACGAGGCAGACGAGAAUAUGUAAUUGACACAUUGAGCAGAGAAGAAGAAGCAGAAGUGAGAAAGAGUUGGUGGACUGAGCAUCUCCGCAGUGGCUGAUAGAGCACCUUGAAGGUCGCAACUUUAAAAACCCGUGGCUGCCUGUUGUACGGCCUGUGUUUUCCCAGUCACCGUGUCGUUGCCAUUGCGGUCUGCUGGGAUUUCUGCCCCCCAGUCCUGGCUCAGCAAGAAGUUGACGAUCUCCGCAUGGCC
Cynoglossus semilaevis (tongue sole) is the source of this 700-nucleotide long non-coding RNA. RefSeq lists it as uncharacterized. The transcript is spliced from 4 exons. The record is from RefSeq and is a predicted model, not a curated record. Lineage: Eukaryota; Metazoa; Chordata; Actinopteri; Pleuronectiformes; Cynoglossidae.